GCUUCCAAUCAUUUCAGGCACAAUGAUCAUGUUC
RNAcentral lists this small RNA (34 nucleotides) under Arabidopsis thaliana (thale cress). RNAcentral describes it as "ATSL245380". Lineage: Eukaryota; Viridiplantae; Streptophyta; Magnoliopsida; Brassicales; Brassicaceae. The record is from RNAcentral.